RNAcentral lists this transfer RNA (72 nucleotides) under Loxodonta africana (African savanna elephant). It matches the Rfam family "tRNA". From Rfam's summary of the family: Transfer RNA (tRNA) molecules are approximately 80 nucleotides in length. Their secondary structure includes four short double-helical elements and three loops (D, anti-codon, and T loops). Further hydrogen bonds mediate the characteristic L-shaped molecular structure. tRNAs have two regions of fundamental functional importance: the anti-codon, which is responsible for specific mRNA codon recognition, and the 3' end, to which the tRNAs corresponding amino acid is attached (by aminoacyl-tRNA synthetases). tRNAs cope with the degeneracy of the genetic code in two manners: having more than one tRNA (with a specific anti-codon) for a particular amino acid; and 'wobble' base-pairing, i.e. permitting non-standard base-pairing at the 3rd anti-codon position. The record is from Rfam by way of RNAcentral. Lineage: Eukaryota; Metazoa; Chordata; Mammalia; Proboscidea; Elephantidae.
GCAGUGGUGGUUCAAUGGUAGAAUUCUCACCUUCCACGUGGGAGACCCAGGAUUCAAGUCCCAGCCAAUGCA